Long non-coding RNA from Cucumis melo (muskmelon), 1393 nucleotides. RefSeq lists it as uncharacterized. NCBI's taxonomy places the organism in Eukaryota, Viridiplantae, Streptophyta, Magnoliopsida, Cucurbitales, Cucurbitaceae. The record is from RefSeq and is a predicted model, not a curated record. The transcript is spliced from 4 exons.
CGAAUAGUUGUCUACAGUUUAUUCCAAUGUAUACAAUAUACAUGGUGAAGUGGACCAAGAAUUUUCAACCUUGUUAAAAAAAAAGGAUUUAUGUGAAGGUUAAGACAAACAGAAAGGUAAAAGAUUCUUCUCCUACCCCUCUCUCAACCACUGAUAAAGAGCCUAGUUGAAUUUGAAUUUAAGAGCUAGCUCAUGUGAGCAACAAUAGAACGACUUUGAAUAUAUAAACUAUACAAGAGAAAAUGAUAAGUAUACAAUGCUUUAAACUUCCCUUCUUUUCUAUGUUUAUGCUCAAAUCUUGUCUUCAUCUUUAUUUUUUGUUUGUUUCAAAUAUUUGGGGAAUGCGAUUUUGGUUUUGAAACUGAUGGAGAUGAAAUUAAGGAACCAAAUGAUGAGUGUUUUCAAAAGAAGACGCAACCAUGAUGUGAACCGAACAGCUUUUAGCUAUUGAGGAUUAAUUUUGGUCGAGGAUGGUUCUUUCUUUCUUUUAUUAUUAUUAUUAUUAUUUUUGUGGGUUUUGAACUUUUGUCCUUCUCAAUAGAUACACCUACUUGACUUGGCCAAAAUUGGUAAUUCUGAUGGUUCCUUAGUUCAUCAUUCCUCUAUGAAAUUUUAGUUUUGAUUUUAGAAGUAUUCUUUCUCUCAGGACUUCCAAAUCUAUCUUCAUACUUCAUUUUGAUUGACAUGGUUUGGAUGAAUUAGAAUAAUUUUCAAUAGUUUCUGGAUGGUGGGGUGGUUAACAAAGUUUGUUGCAUGUUUUCUCAAUGUGCAAUUGUGUUAAUUCUAAAAUUUGAAUUUGUAGUCGCAACUUAAACCAUUCACAUUUUAAGUGAUGGAUAGUACAGUUAACAUGGAUGUGGACAAGACUUUUGUUCGAGAUUUGGACUACUGAAACACAACCGUGUCUGGCUAUGAGUUGAAUGAGGAAAAUAAACUGUACAAGUCCUCUGUGAUGGUUACAGCCGGUGCAAAUCAGGCAUUCGUUAACCUUGUUCUUACAUUGUGUGAUGCUGGGGAUUCUGUGGUUAUGUUUGCUCCGUAUUACUUCAAUGCCUACAUGUCUUUUCAAAUGACUGGUGUCACUAAUAUAUUGGUUGGUCCCAGUGACCCAAAAACACUUCAUCCUGAUCCAGAUAAUUGAAGUGAUAUCGGGUUGAAAGCUAAGCGAUUGUGUAGAAAUGGUCAAGCGACCGUUGAAAAUUGAAGACUGAGAAGGCAUUUAGGAUUUUUAAUUAUUUAAUUCUUGUAUUAGAAUUUUUUUUUCAUGUACUAUUGUAGAAAUGUAUAUAUAAACAUAAUAUUAAUAUUUUAUUUUGUGUAUUCAAAUGUAAAAGACAAAUGUUAUAGUUUCUAACAUAAUAUGAAUUUCAUUGAUUUGUUGGCGUGUGAAAAA